AACGAACGCUGGCGGCAUGCCUAACACAUGCGAGUCGAACGAGACCUUCGGGUCUAGUGGCGCACGGGUGCGUAACGCGUGGGAACCUGCCCUUAGGUUCGGAAUAACUCCCCGAAAGGGGUGCUAAUACCGGAUAAUGUCUUCGAACCAAAGAUUUAUCGCCUUUGGAUGGGCCCGCGUUGGAUUAGCUAGUUGGUAGGGUAAAAGCCUACCAAGGCGACGAUCCAUAGCUGGUCUGAGAGGAUGAUCAGCCACACUGGGACUGAGACACGGCCCAGACUCCUACGGGAGGCAGCAGUGGGGAAUAUUGGACAAUGGGCGAAAGCCUGAUCCAGCAAUGCCGCGUGAGUGAUGAAGGCCUUAGGGUUGUAAAGCUCUUUUACCCGGGAUGAUAAUGACAGUACCGGGAGAAUAAGCUCCGGCUAACUCCGUG
This 433-nucleotide ribosomal RNA is filed under the name uncultured bacterium. Its description in RNAcentral is "partial 16S ribosomal RNA". It matches the Rfam family "Bacterial small subunit ribosomal RNA", at positions 29 to 507 of the family's 1533-position model. The record is from RNAcentral.